RNAcentral lists this ribosomal RNA (460 nucleotides) under uncultured bacterium. RNAcentral describes it as "partial 16S ribosomal RNA". It matches the Rfam family "Bacterial small subunit ribosomal RNA", at positions 338 to 795 of the family's 1533-position model. The record is from RNAcentral.
CCUACGGGUGGCAGCAGUGAGGAAUAUUGGUCAAUGGGCGCGCGCCUGAACCAGCCAAGUAGCGUGAAGGAUGACUGCCCUACGGGUUGUAAACUUCUUUUAUAAAGGAAUAAAGUGAGGCACGUGUGCCUUGGUGUAUGUAAUUUAUGAAUAAGGAACGGCUAACUCCGUGCCAGCAGCCGCGGGAAUACGGGGGGACCGGGCGUUAUCCGGAUUUAUUGGGUUUAAAGGGAGCGUAGAUGGGUUGUUAAGUCAGUUGUGAAAGUUUGCGGCUCAACCAUAAAAUUGCCAUUGAUACUGGCAUCCUUGAGUACAGUUGAGGUAUGCGGAAUUCGUGGUGUAGCGGUGAAAUGCUUAGAUAUCACGAAGAACUCCGAUUGCGAAGGCAGCCUACUCAACUCCCACUGACAUUGAUGCUCGAAAGUGUGGGUAUCAAACAGGAUUAGAUACCCCAGUAGUC